This 110-nucleotide small RNA is filed under the name Sinorhizobium meliloti 2011. Its description in RNAcentral is "putative ncRNA". Lineage: Bacteria; Pseudomonadati; Pseudomonadota; Alphaproteobacteria; Hyphomicrobiales; Rhizobiaceae. The record is from RNAcentral.
AUUACGGGAAUAGAUAGUUUGGGCAGAAUAGAGAAGAUCUGCCAGCGAGAUCACGCUGACAAGGGAUGAUGUCUUGAGCAUUCCGAUCGUCUGAUUGCCUGUCGGCGGUA